AUGCGAUAAGUAGUGUGAAUUGCAGAAUUCAGUGAAUCAUCGAAUCUUUGAACGCACAUUGCGCCCCUUGGUAUUCCAUGGGGCAUGCCUGUUCGAGCGUCAUUUGUACCUUCAAGCUCUGCUUGGUGUUGGGUGUUUUGUCUCGCCUCCGCGCGCAGACUCGCCUUAAAACAAUUGGCAGCCGGCGUAUUGAUUUCGGAGCGCAGUACAUCUCGCGCUUUGCACUCAUAACGACGACGUCCAAAAGUACAUUUUUACACUCUUGACCUCGGAUCAGGUAGGGAUACCCGCUGAACUUAA
RNAcentral lists this unclassified non-coding RNA (300 nucleotides) under uncultured Didymellaceae. RNAcentral describes it as "partial contains 5.8S ribosomal RNA, internal transcribed spacer 2, and large subunit ribosomal RNA". The stretch from base 1 to 102 matches the Rfam family "5.8S ribosomal RNA", at positions 53 to 154 of the family's 154-position model. The record is from RNAcentral. Lineage: Eukaryota; Fungi; Ascomycota; Dothideomycetes; Pleosporales; Didymellaceae.